AGGGGCGUAGCUCAGCUGGUAGAGCACUGGUCUCCAAAACCAGGUGUCGUCGGUUCAAGUCCGGCCGCCCCUGCCA
RNAcentral lists this transfer RNA (76 nucleotides) under bacterium. RNAcentral describes it as "tRNA-Trp". It matches the Rfam family "tRNA". From Rfam's summary of the family: Transfer RNA (tRNA) molecules are approximately 80 nucleotides in length. Their secondary structure includes four short double-helical elements and three loops (D, anti-codon, and T loops). RNAcentral also lists the same sequence under 1 other name. The record is from RNAcentral.